This 429-nucleotide ribosomal RNA is filed under the name uncultured bacterium. RNAcentral describes it as "bacterial SSU rRNA". It matches the Rfam family "Bacterial small subunit ribosomal RNA", at positions 30 to 481 of the family's 1533-position model. The record is from RNAcentral.
AUUGAACGCUGGCGGCAGGCCUAAUACAUGCAAGUCGAACGGUAACAUAAAAGAAGCUUGCUUCUUUUGAUGACGAGUGGCGGACGGGUGAGUAAUAUUUGGGAAACUACCUGAUAGAGGGGGACAACAGUUGGAAACGACUGCUAAUACCGCAUAUAGCCUAAGGGUGAAAGCAGCAAUGCGCUAUCAGAUGUGCCCAAACGGGAUUAGCUAGUAGGUGAGGUAAAGGCUCACCUAGGCGACGAUCUCUAGCUGGUCUGAGAGGAUGAUCAGCCACAUUGGGACUGAGACACGGCCCAGACUCCUACGGGAGGCAGCAGUAGGGAAUAUUGCACAAUGGAGGAAACUCUGAUGCAGCCAUGCCGCGUGUGUGAAGAAGGCCUUCGGGUUGUAAAGCACUUUCGGAGGGAGGAAAGAUGACGUUACCUC